UACGUAGGGUGCGAGCGUUAAUCGGAAUUACUGGGCGUAAAGCGUGCGCAGGCGGUUUCGACAAGUCUGAUAGUCGGAAAUCCCCGGGACUCGAACCUGGGAACUUGCGUUGGAAACUGUCGGGCUAGAGUGUAGAAGAGGGGGGUAGAAUUCCACGUGUAGCAGUGAAAUGCGUAGAGAUGUGGAGGAAUACCGAUGGCGAAGGCAGCCCCCU
This 214-nucleotide ribosomal RNA is filed under the name uncultured bacterium. RNAcentral describes it as "partial 16S ribosomal RNA". It matches the Rfam family "Bacterial small subunit ribosomal RNA", at positions 524 to 730 of the family's 1533-position model. The record is from RNAcentral.